This 253-nucleotide ribosomal RNA is filed under the name uncultured bacterium. RNAcentral's name for it is "partial 16S ribosomal RNA". It matches the Rfam family "Bacterial small subunit ribosomal RNA", at positions 524 to 776 of the family's 1533-position model. The record is from RNAcentral.
UACAGAGGGUGCGAGCGUUAAUCGGAAUGACUGGGCGUAAAGGGUGCGUAGGUGGUUGUUUAAGUCAGAUGUGAAAUCCCCGAGCUCAACUUGGGAAUUGCAUUUGAAACUGGGUGACUAGAGCAGAGAAGAGGAGAGUAGAAUUUCAGGUGUAGCGGUGAAAUGCGUAGAUAUCUGAAGGAAUACCAGUGGCGAAGGCGGCUCUCUGGUCUCAUGCUGACACUGAGGCACGAAAGCGUGGGGAGCAAACAGG